Molecule: long non-coding RNA, 890 nt
Organism: Diceros bicornis minor
Lineage: Eukaryota; Metazoa; Chordata; Mammalia; Perissodactyla; Rhinocerotidae
Exons: 4
Source: RefSeq, a predicted model, not a curated record
UCCUUCACAUAUUUUUUUUCCUUUUAGGUCAAUAUGUGAAUAUUUUAAAAAGUUGUUCAAAGACUUCUGGGGAUUGAAAGAAUUCAAGAGGUCUGAAGUUCGUUGCCGUAUCUUUGCAAGAAGAAUCAGCAUAUUGGCAUUUGGACUCUAGUGAAAGGGAUGAAAAUGAGAUUCUGUGAAGACACAGCAGAGUCAAUAAGCAGGAGCUUGGCUGUGGCAAGAAGGAUGAAACAACCAAAUUGAGACAAUUUGCAGGAAAAGUGAAAUUGCCACUAAUUGCCUCAAAGCUGUAACUUGAUGAAGCUGCAGUAAAUUGGAUCUGUUAUUUUUUGUAUGUCAGCCAGAGAACGUCCAUCUCACUCAGGGCCACUGUUUUAUACCUCUGUCGGGCCCCUGCUGGGAUAGAUAUUCUCCUGUGGAGCAGCAGGGCUGGAAGACCCCUGGAGAGGACUUAGCCCCAAUUGGCCGCAUGUCACUUGGGCCUCAAGGACUUCAAAAGGGUAAGGACACAGAGCCAGCUGCCUGGGUUUGAAUCUCGGUUCCACCUUUCACUCAACGUGUAACCAUGGAUGGCUGACUUCGUGUUCCGGUAACUGAAUGUCUUCGUCCGUAAAAUGAGGAUAAUGUGAGUACUACCUCCUACAGUUGUUGGAGAGUUCACAGAGUCAACAAGUGCCCAGCACCAGAAGGUGUGGGGCCGAGUUUGCUGCUAUCACUGUCAUCGUUUAACUGUGUCUCACUUGACUGCCGAGUUAUAUUUAUGGCAUCUCUUCUGGUAAUUUUCUCGAGCUCUGAAGUACCUUAUUGGCCUAUGGCUCCCUUUAUUUUCCUUGGGAGUGUGUGUUGUGCAGAACAUAAGUGUUGCUAUUGUAAUAAAAGAUAACUUCAAA